UUUUUUGUACAAGUAUAUCUCAUGCAUUAUUUGGGACAUACUUGUACUAAAA
Non-coding RNA from Macaca mulatta (Rhesus monkey), 52 nucleotides. The record is from Rfam. Lineage: Eukaryota; Metazoa; Chordata; Mammalia; Primates; Cercopithecidae.